CGUGCCUAGGGCACGAUCGUGACAGAGAGGGGCACGGGAGAGAGGGCGGCGGCGUUGGAGAGGGUUCGCCGGAGGGAUGUGAGCGUCGGGGAGAGGCGACCAAGAGCCGGCCGGCCGCGGAGGAAGGCCACUUCCCUUCAAGAAGAUCCCCACAAAUCGGUGAAGAGAUCUUGGACCCGUGCGUGUUUGCUCACGGAUUUCUUCCUCCGAUUUCUCGCCGGAAAGGUUGCCGGAGCACGCCGUCAGACCGAGAGGAAGAGUCGGUGGUGCCAGGAGAUUUUGAUCAGGGGACAGCAUCCCAGCGCGCAGGUUGUGAUUCGGAUCCGUAUUUGAGUCGGUCCAUAAAUUUCUAGUUGCAGGAUGCUUAGAUUUGGAUGGGAUGGGCGCAGAGUACAAGUAUCAGAGUCAUUAGCUAGUUAGUUUGUUUGUCCUUCUUUGAUGUCGAUGAACAUUUGAAGAUCUUGUAAUUGAACUAAUUUGUUUAUUUGGAUAUGUCGGACUUGUCUAUUUGAAUUAUUAAAUUAA
Phoenix dactylifera (date palm) is the source of this 525-nucleotide non-coding RNA. Lineage: Eukaryota; Viridiplantae; Streptophyta; Magnoliopsida; Arecales; Arecaceae. The record is from RefSeq and is a predicted model, not a curated record.